This 330-nucleotide ribosomal RNA is filed under the name uncultured eukaryote. RNAcentral describes it as "partial 18S ribosomal RNA". It matches the Rfam family "Eukaryotic small subunit ribosomal RNA", at positions 1470 to 1796 of the family's 1831-position model. The record is from RNAcentral.
CCCUUAGAUGUUCUGGGCUGCACGCGCGCUACACUGAUACUUUCAGCGAGUCCACCACCUUGCCUGGGAAGGUGGGGUAACCUCUGGAAAGUGCAUCGUGAUGGGGAUCGAUUAUUGUAAUUAUUAAUCUUCAACGAGGAAUUCCUAGUACGCGCAAGUCAUCAGCUUGCAUGGAUUACGUCCCUGCCCUUUGUACACACCGCCCGUCGCACCUACCGAUUGAGUGGUCCGGUGAAGACCUCGGACUGUGGCUGCGGUUGCUUGAUUGCGACUGUGUGCUGUGGGAAGUUGUCUAAAUCUUAUCACUUAGAGGAAGGUGAAGUCGUAACA